GACGAACGCUGGCGGCGUGCCUAAUACAUGCAAGUUGAGCGCUGAAGGUUGGUACUUGUACCCACUGGAUGAGCAGCGAACGGGUGAGUAACGCGUGGGGAAUCUGCCUUUGAGCGGGGGACAACAUUUGGAAACGAAUGCUAAUACCGCAUAAAAACUUUAAACACAAGUUUUAAGUUUGAAAGAUGCAAUUGCAUCACUCAAAGAUGAUCCCGCGUUGUAUUAGCUAGUUGGUGAGGUAAAGGCUCACCAAGGCGAUGAUACAUAGCCGACCUGAGAGGGUGAUCGGCCACAUUGGGACUGAGACACGGCCCAAACUCCUACGGGAGGCAGCAGUAGGGAAUCUUCGGCAAUAGACGAAAGUCUGACCGAGCAACGCCGCGUGAGUGAAGAAGGUUUUCGGAUCGUAAAACUCUGUUGGUAGAGAAGAACGUUGGUGAGAGUGGAAAGCUCAUCAAGUGACGGUAACUACCCAGAAAGGGACGGCUAACUACGUG
Molecule: ribosomal RNA, 497 nt
Filed under: uncultured bacterium
Lineage: Bacteria
Description: partial 16S ribosomal RNA
Rfam family: Bacterial small subunit ribosomal RNA
Source: RNAcentral